AAGUCAGAGGUGAAAUCCCCAUGCUCAACUGUGGAACUGCCUUUGAUACUGGUUGACUUGAGUUAUAGGGAAGUAGAUAGAAUGUGUAGUGUAGCGGUGAAAUGCAUAGAUAUUACACAGAAUACCGAUUGCGAAGGCAGAUUACUACGUAUGUACUGACGCUCAUGGACGAAAGCGUGGGGAGCGAACAGGAUUAGAUACCCUGGUAGUCCACGCCGUAAACGAUGGAUACUAGCUGUUGGGCAUUAGCUCAGUGACUAAGCGAAAGUGAUAAGUAUCCCACCUGGGGAGUACGGGAGCAAGAUUAAAACUCAAAUGAAUUGACGG
This 327-nucleotide ribosomal RNA is filed under the name uncultured bacterium. RNAcentral's name for it is "bacterial SSU rRNA". It matches the Rfam family "Bacterial small subunit ribosomal RNA", at positions 585 to 916 of the family's 1533-position model. The record is from RNAcentral.